RNAcentral lists this long non-coding RNA (401 nucleotides) under Phasianus colchicus (ring-necked pheasant). RNAcentral describes it as "lncRNA (ENSPCLG00000001517.1)". Lineage: Eukaryota; Metazoa; Chordata; Aves; Galliformes; Phasianidae. The record is from RNAcentral.
AUGGAUCUGAAGUGGAAUGCGAAUGAGCAGAUAUGUUCUGGAUGUUUAAGACAUUUAUUGACUCUCAGACUUCAGUUUUGCCCAAAGCAGAAUGAAGUUAAACAAUUGUGGGUUAAUGAUUUUUAUUUUGACAUGAGGACAGCAAUGGGGGAGACUCUGCAAGGACCCAGAAAGUGCACUAAUAAAUUGCUGGAUUUCUGUGUAGGAAACUUUCGUGCCUACAUCCUUUCCAUCUUUCACCUUGCAUGUGCAUGACAUGGCCCCAAACAUGGUUUCAACCAAAAGAAACAAAGAGAUAUUAAAGAAGAGCAUCAGAUGAUUUUGGAAGAAAAAAAAGAAGUAAAAAAGUAGUGCUUGAAAGUUUCCAGAGCAGAUGAGAAAUAAACAGACCAAGCAUCUCA